AUUGAACGCUGGCGGCAUGCCUUACACAUGCAAGUCGAACGGUAACAGGUCUUCGGAUGCUGACGAGUGGCGAACGGGUGAGUAAUACAUCGGAACGUGCCUAGUAGUGGGGGAUAACUACUCGAAAGAGUGGCUAAUACCGCAUGAGAUCUACGGAUGAAAGCAGGGGAUCGCAAGACCUUGUGCUACUAGAGCGGCCGCAGGCAGAUUAGGUAGUUGGUGGGAUAAAAGCUUACCAAGCCGACGAUCUGUAGCGGGUCUGAGAGGACGAUCAGCCACGCUGGGACUGAGACACGGACGAGACGCCUACGGGAGUCAGCAGUGAGGAAUUUUGGACAAGGGGGGAAAGCCUGAUCCAGCAAUGCCGCGGGCAGGAUGAAGGCCUCCGGGUUGUAAACUGCUUUUGUACGGAACGAAAAGCCCCGGGUUAAUACCCUGGGGUCAUGACGGUACCGUAAGAAUAAGCACCGGCUAACUACGUGCCAGCCGCCGCGGUAA
RNAcentral lists this ribosomal RNA (498 nucleotides) under uncultured bacterium. RNAcentral describes it as "partial 16S ribosomal RNA". It matches the Rfam family "Bacterial small subunit ribosomal RNA", at positions 30 to 523 of the family's 1533-position model. The record is from RNAcentral.